ACAACAAAAAUGUGAAAGGAAAAUACAAAAUUAAAAUAAGCAACCAAGGAAAAUUGAGGGUCAUCUUCUCCAAGCAUCAACAUCGAAGAGCUCCGGCCAUCAGUCGCCAGAGAGAUCGAAAUCACCUUCCCAAUUUCACAUCUCCUCCAUUUCAGCUUCUACCAGAUCUUCUCCAAGGUAAGUCUCUAACCGUCUACUCAUCUUGAGCUAAAUCAGUUUGUAGAUCUGGAAAACUUGAAGUUUUUUGGCUUCUACCUUUAUCUUCUGGACGCAAACUUGACUCCGAAGAUUGAAUCUAUGGAGAUCGCCUCCCAAUCUUGUACUAUUACCUCUUGGGUUCCAUUCUUAAUUUUUGUGCUGCUGUAAAAUGCUUCAGGUAAGACUGGAUAAGCAUUAUAUAUGAAUUAGAAUUCCUUUUCUCUAGUUUAAUCUUUGAUGGAUUGAAUCCCUUAAAGAGAUUAGUAACACCAUCUAAAUUUUAGACCUUUGAGUUAGACAACUAAAUGAAUUUUGCUUAUAUGAUUUAUGGGACAGCAAAACCUUUUGGAGAAAUUGGAUUAGUGGAGGAAGCAAAUAGGAGCUAUCAACAAUCGAAUGCACCACUGUCAACUUUUGAGUCCUGAUUUUGUACCACUUUGAACAGCUAUAUGCUCUCACCAGGU
RNAcentral lists this long non-coding RNA (662 nucleotides) under Solanum tuberosum (potato). RNAcentral describes it as "long non-coding RNA (STUB_LNC009150)". Lineage: Eukaryota; Viridiplantae; Streptophyta; Magnoliopsida; Solanales; Solanaceae. The record is from RNAcentral.